This 65-nucleotide transfer RNA is filed under the name Dipodomys ordii (Ord's kangaroo rat). It matches the Rfam family "tRNA". From Rfam's summary of the family: Transfer RNA (tRNA) molecules are approximately 80 nucleotides in length. Lineage: Eukaryota; Metazoa; Chordata; Mammalia; Rodentia; Heteromyidae. The record is from Rfam by way of RNAcentral.
GGUGGCUCAGUGGUAGAGCUCUUGCCUUGCAUGCAAAAGGCCCCGGGUUUGAUUCCUCAGCACCA